UGUUUUUCACAUUCCCGGUAAUGUAUUUUUAGCAUUGCGACUAGCGUUGGACUAUUUUGGUUUCCUGUUGUCCAACAGACUUAGAUCUAUAUUAUAGAUGGGCAUAUUGUUAUCUAGAGCGUCUAAUCUCCAGUAUUGAUUAUGGCUGCAAGGGAAAAGUUUUGUUAAAAUUUUGGUGUCUAGUCUUAAAUCUUGUUUAUAGUCUUCACACUUUUUAUGGAGAAAUUAUUUAACACAAAGUUUAUUCAACUUACUGGAUUGCUGUUAUCAAGCUGUUGUCAUCCACGAUAUCCCCUCGUCCUAUAUUGAUAAAAAUUGUUUUCUAAAAAAAAAAUUAUGUCACAUCAUCAUGUUGUAAAUAAAUUUUAAAAGUUUUAUUUCA
Molecule: long non-coding RNA, 382 nt
Organism: Biomphalaria glabrata
Lineage: Eukaryota; Metazoa; Mollusca; Gastropoda; Planorbidae
Exons: 3
Source: RefSeq, a predicted model, not a curated record